This 460-nucleotide ribosomal RNA is filed under the name uncultured bacterium. Its description in RNAcentral is "partial 16S ribosomal RNA". It matches the Rfam family "Bacterial small subunit ribosomal RNA", at positions 338 to 795 of the family's 1533-position model. The record is from RNAcentral.
CCUACGGGUGGCAGCAGUGAGGAAUAUUGGUCAAUGGGCGCGAGCCUGAACCAGCCAAGUCGCGUGAGGGAAGACGGCCCUACGGGUUGUAAACCUCUUCUGCCGGGGAGCAACGGGCGCCACGUGUGGCGCCACUGAGAGUACCCGUAGAAAAAGCAUCGGCUAACUCCGUGCCAGCAGCCGCGGUAAUACGGAGGAUGCGAGCGUUAUCCGGAUUUAUUGGGUUAAAAGGGUGCGUAGGCGGCCUGUUAAGUCAGCGGUAAAAGCCCGGGGCUAAACCCCGGCGAGCCGUUGAAACUGGCGGGCGGGAGUUGGAGAGAGGUACGCGGAAUGCGCGGUGUAGCGGUGAAAUGCUUAGAUAUCGCGCAGAACCCCGAUUGCGAAGGCAGCGUACCGGCUCCACACUGACGCUGAGGCACGAAAGCGUGGGUAUCGAACAGGAUUAGAUACCCCGGUAGUC